AAUCAAAGACUGGGACUGCAAAGUGAAAGGUUUCCAGGUUCGGUUAAAUGUAUUCAAACAAAACACCUGCUGACACUUAGGCUUUCAAACACAAUUACCAAAGUAUUAAAACUAGCUGUGUUUAUGUCAUACAUGUGAAAUAUAUUCAAAACUGUGGUGAAAUUGUAACUUUAAUGGAAAAAAAAAUAAUUGCAUGUGAUUCGGGAACAAGAUUUGUGUGUGUGUGUGUGUUUAACCUGGCUGUAUCAUAAUGAUUUCUUCUAUCAUGUUUGCUUAUUCACCAGGUUUAGUCUCCAAUUGCAAAUGGAGCACACAAGAGAUUAACAACCCUAUGGAUUUAAUCUAAGGCUUUCUGAAAUGCUUCUCCCACACGUGCAAGCAAAGCAAUCAGCUGCUGGCUGGAGGCACGGGGCUUGGUGUGAGCUGCGUGUCUCCAGGUGUCAUGGAGAUGUUAAACAGCUGUCCUGUAUCUUUGCUGGCAAGCUGGGUGCUUACAGACCUUGAACUGAAUGAGCACCACAUCUUGCUACAGCUGGUCCAGAGCUGUGCAAGCAGCUAUUGAGCCACCAGCAGUCCAGUUACAUCACGGGCAAGAGCACUGCCUUGUGGAGGAGCCUGCCCAUGGUCAUGCAAGCCCUGCAGGCGUGGAGCUCAGAUGCCUGGAGUUGUUAGAGUUGAUAGGAACUGCAAGGGAGCAGAAGAGUUGCCAGACCAGGUCAUCUGCCUCCCAGCCUGCAAAGCCCAGCACUUGUGUCCUGUCUGGCAAGUCAGCUCGGGGGUCCUGCUGCCUUGCCUGGAUGUGUCUAUGCCAUGCAAUGGGGUCCUGUCCCCAGGACCCACUGUUUGCUCCUGUCCCUGUUCUGCCCCCUUGCUUGGGCUGCUGCAGUGCCCCAGGCUCACCCUGUGAAUCGGACCAGGUGACUGACACAGGUUAG
RNAcentral lists this long non-coding RNA (935 nucleotides) under Anser brachyrhynchus (Pink-footed goose). RNAcentral describes it as "lncRNA (ENSABRG00000005549.1)". Lineage: Eukaryota; Metazoa; Chordata; Aves; Anseriformes; Anatidae. The record is from RNAcentral.